UACGUAGGGAGCGAGCGUUAUCCGGAUUUAUUGGGUGUAAAGGGUGCGUAGACGGACUUACAAGUUAGUUGUGAAAUCCCUCGGCUUAACUGAGGAACUGCAACUAAAACUGUAAGCCUUGAGUGCAGGAGAGGUAAGUGGAAUUCCUAGUGUAGCGGUGAAAUGCGUAGAUAUUAGGAGGAACACCAGUGGCGAAGGCGACUUACUGGACUGUAACUGACGUUGAGGCACGAAAGUGUGGGGAGCAAACAGGAUUAGAUACCCUGGUAGCCCACACCGUAAACGAUGGAUACUAGGUGUAGGAAAUAUUAAGUUUUCUGUGCCGUCGCAAACGCAGUAAGUAUCCCACCUGGGGAGUACGGCCGCAAGGUUGAA
RNAcentral lists this ribosomal RNA (375 nucleotides) under uncultured bacterium. RNAcentral's name for it is "bacterial SSU rRNA". It matches the Rfam family "Bacterial small subunit ribosomal RNA", at positions 524 to 898 of the family's 1533-position model. The record is from RNAcentral.